This 514-nucleotide ribosomal RNA is filed under the name uncultured bacterium. RNAcentral's name for it is "partial 16S ribosomal RNA". It matches the Rfam family "Bacterial small subunit ribosomal RNA", at positions 28 to 523 of the family's 1533-position model. The record is from RNAcentral.
GAUGAACGCUGGCGGCGUGCCUAAUACAUGCAAGUCGAGCGAACUGAUUAGAAGCUUGCUUCUAUGACGUUAGCGGCGGACGGGUGAGUAACACGUGGGCAACCUGCCAGUAAGACUGGGAUAACUUCGGGAAGCCGAAGCUAAUACCGGAUAGGAUCUUCUCCUUCAUGGGAGAUGAUUGAAAGAUGGUUUCGGCUAUCACUUACAGAUGGGCCCGCGGUGCAUUAGCUAGUUGGUGAGGUAACGGCUCACCAAGGCAACGAUGCAUAGCCGACCUGAGAGGGUGAUCGGCCACACUGGGACUGAGACACGGCCCAGACUCCUACGGGAGGCAGCAGUAGGGAAUCUUCCGCAAUGGACGAAAGUCUGACGGAGCAACGCCGCGUGAGUGAUGAAGGCUUUCGGGUCGUAAAACUCUGUUGUUAGGGAAGAACAAGUACAAGAGUAACUGCUUGUACCUUGACGGUACCUAACCAGAAAGCCACGGCUAACUACGUGCCAGCCGCCGCCGUAA